GAUGAACGCUGGCGGCGUGCCUAACACAUGCAAGUCGAACGAAGCUUGACGGAUGAUUUCUUCGGAAUGAAACCUGAUAUGACUUAGUGGCGGACGGGUGAGUAACACGUGAGCAACCUGCCUUUCAGAGGGGGAUAACGGCUGGAAACGGUCGCUAAUACCGCAUGAUGUGUUCGGAUGGCAUCAUCUGAACAUCAAAGAUUUAUCGCUGAAAGAUGGGCUCGCGUCUGAUUAGAUAGUUGGUGGGGUAACGGCCUACCAAGUCGACGAUCAGUAGCCGGACUGAGAGGUUGAACGGCCACAUUGGGACUGAGAUACGGCCCAGACUCCUACGGGAGGCAGCAGUGGGGAAUAUUGCACAAUGGGGGAAACCCUGAUGCAGCAACGCCGCGUGAAGGAUGACGUUUUCGGAUUGUAAACUUCUUUUCUUAGUGACGAAGACAGUGACGGUAGCUAAGGAAUAAGCAUCGGCUAACUACGUG
This 482-nucleotide ribosomal RNA is filed under the name uncultured bacterium. Its description in RNAcentral is "bacterial SSU rRNA". It matches the Rfam family "Bacterial small subunit ribosomal RNA", at positions 28 to 507 of the family's 1533-position model. The record is from RNAcentral.